GCACGGAUGGCCGAGUGGUCUAAGGCGCCAGACUCAAGAUUUCACUUGCCACGCGAAAGUUGUUGAGCAUUCUGGCACUGGGAAGGGUGCGUGAGUUCAAAUCCCGCUCCGUGCA
Molecule: transfer RNA, 115 nt
Filed under: Angiostrongylus costaricensis
Lineage: Eukaryota; Metazoa; Nematoda; Chromadorea; Rhabditida; Metastrongylidae
Rfam family: tRNA
About the family: Transfer RNA (tRNA) molecules are approximately 80 nucleotides in length. Their secondary structure includes four short double-helical elements and three loops (D, anti-codon, and T loops).
Source: Rfam by way of RNAcentral